RNAcentral lists this ribosomal RNA (334 nucleotides) under uncultured Bacillota bacterium. RNAcentral's name for it is "bacterial SSU rRNA". It matches the Rfam family "Bacterial small subunit ribosomal RNA", at positions 28 to 351 of the family's 1533-position model. The record is from RNAcentral. Lineage: Bacteria; Bacillati; Bacillota.
GACGAACGCUGGCGGCGUGCCUAAUACAUGCAAGUCGAGCGGAUCUUUAGAAGCUUGCUUCUAAAGAUUAGCGGCGGACGGGUGAGUAACACGUGGGCAACCUGCCUGUAAGACUGGGAUAACUUCGGGAAACCGAGGCUAAUACCGGAUAAUCCUUUCUCUCACAUGAGGGAAAGCUGAAAGACGGCGCAAGCUGUCACUUACAGAUGGGGCCCGCGGCGCAUUAGCUAGUUGGUGAGGUAACGGCUCACCAAGGCAACGAUGCGUAGCCGACCUGAGAGGGCGAACGGCCACACUGGAACUGAGACACGGUCCAGACUCCUACGGGAGGCUG